UGGAACAUUUAUCAGGAGAGCUUUGCUGGU
RNAcentral lists this non-coding RNA (30 nucleotides) under Mus musculus (house mouse). The record is from RNAcentral. Lineage: Eukaryota; Metazoa; Chordata; Mammalia; Rodentia; Muridae.